This 222-nucleotide microRNA precursor is filed under the name Ricinus communis (castor bean). Its description in RNAcentral is "MIR159 microRNA precursor family". It matches the Rfam family "MIR159 microRNA precursor family". The record is from Rfam by way of RNAcentral. Lineage: Eukaryota; Viridiplantae; Streptophyta; Magnoliopsida; Malpighiales; Euphorbiaceae.
AUGCGUGCAUGGGGGCUCUCUUCUAGCUCCGAUUCUGAAAGGAGAUGAUGGUGCGACAUGGCUGCUAGUUCAUGAAUACCCUUUGGUGCGCAGGUCAGUUCUAUGUAGUUGGCAAAUGGCAAUGGUGAUGCGCAGCCUAAGAGUAAGCAUCUGCUGGGAGCUCUGUUUACCUUUGAUAUUCUUUUUGGUAUUGGGGCGAAGGAAGCUCCUAUAUUUACAUGU